GCUCCCUUCGUCUAGUGGCCUAGGACGCCGGCCUCUCACGCCGGUAACAGGGGUUCGACUCCCCUAGGGAGCGCCA
This 76-nucleotide transfer RNA is filed under the name Thiotrichales bacterium. RNAcentral describes it as "tRNA-Glu". It matches the Rfam family "tRNA". From Rfam's summary of the family: Transfer RNA (tRNA) molecules are approximately 80 nucleotides in length. Their secondary structure includes four short double-helical elements and three loops (D, anti-codon, and T loops). Further hydrogen bonds mediate the characteristic L-shaped molecular structure. tRNAs have two regions of fundamental functional importance: the anti-codon, which is responsible for specific mRNA codon recognition, and the 3' end, to which the tRNAs corresponding amino acid is attached (by aminoacyl-tRNA synthetases). tRNAs cope with the degeneracy of the genetic code in two manners: having more than one tRNA (with a specific anti-codon) for a particular amino acid; and 'wobble' base-pairing, i.e. permitting non-standard base-pairing at the 3rd anti-codon position. Lineage: Bacteria; Pseudomonadati; Pseudomonadota; Gammaproteobacteria; Thiotrichales. The record is from RNAcentral.